This 1000-nucleotide long non-coding RNA is filed under the name Gallus gallus (chicken). RNAcentral's name for it is "lncRNA (ENSGALG00010023139.1)". Lineage: Eukaryota; Metazoa; Chordata; Aves; Galliformes; Phasianidae. The record is from RNAcentral.
UGUGAAGGUCCAUCUGUGCUUUCUGCUGCAAGCUACGAAACCAGAAGUUUCCUUGUCCUGGAAAGGGUGAUUUUAUCCAAGAUCUUCAAAGUGGAGCGAGCCAUGUGACUGUAGGGAUGCAGUCCAACUGACUCAUGAGGAGCUCAGCAGAGGGAGAUGAGGCAUGUGCACGGCUGCAGCUCUGGGAGCAGCUCUGGGAGGCUGCACAGGAAUGCGGUCCCAUCUCACAGUGUGACAGCCCUAGACCAAGGUACAAAGGCAUCUGAAGGAUUUUAAGAGCAAUCCCUCCACAGGAAUGGCUUGAAUGUAUUCACAGUGCCACACACCUCCAGAAAGCAGGAUGUGCUUCUUAUUAGCAGCUGAGGACGGCUUGCUGAAAGGCUGCCAGCAUUUUCUUAUGAGAGAGAGCAUUACAUGCACUUAGUGAGUACAUGUGCAUAUAUAGAUAUAUAUAUUUCUAAUGUGUAUGUAAUGUUGUUUCUUGGCAUUUAUUUGGGGAAGGCUAGGUGGCACUGGGCAGUUCGUGCUGUGUCAGUUCUUAUUUGCUCUCACGUUCUUCUGUUUAUGUGAAUGCUCACACUGCAUGGAGCAAUGUCCUCUGCUACUGAGGGCAAGAAACCUCUCAGGUCCUCAUGGAGCCAAACGGAGAGGAAACAGGACAAGAAGGACACACAGGUCCAGAAGAGUGCCACAGAAAUGACCCAAGGGAUGGAACACCUCCCUACAAGGACAAGCUGAGAGAGCUGGGGCUGUUCAGUCUGGAGAAGAGAAGGCUCUGAAGAGACCUAAGGGCAACCUGUCAGUAUCUAAAGACAGCCUCAGUGGGCUAAUAGCCAAGAGGGUCGAGGUAUUAAAGCACCCUGCACAGACCACAGCAGAUGGAAAAGAUCUGAGUUGGGCAAAAUGAUCGUUGCUGAAAGUUGCACUGUUACGUGAAACCAUUACAGGAGAGCAGAGCACCAGGAAAGGAGCAUCUUGCCUAUUGGACACAUUUUUGUGA